RNAcentral lists this ribosomal RNA (29 nucleotides) under Sedum sp. US:3540366. RNAcentral describes it as "partial 26S ribosomal RNA". The record is from RNAcentral. Lineage: Eukaryota; Viridiplantae; Streptophyta; Magnoliopsida; Saxifragales; Crassulaceae.
GCGACCCCAGGUCAGGCGGGAAUACCCGC